RNAcentral lists this ribosomal RNA (205 nucleotides) under uncultured bacterium. Its description in RNAcentral is "partial 16S ribosomal RNA". It matches the Rfam family "Bacterial small subunit ribosomal RNA", at positions 1300 to 1500 of the family's 1533-position model. The record is from RNAcentral.
GCAGCCUGCAACUCGGCUGCAUGAAGCUGGAAUCGCUAGUAAUCGCGGAUCAGCACGCCGCGGUGAAUACGUUCCCGGGCCUUGUACACACCGCCCGUCACACCAUGGAAGUCUGCAAUGCCCGAAGCCGGUGGCCUAACCACUUAUGUGGAAGGAGCCGUCUAAGGCAGGGCAGAUGACUGGGGUGAAGUCGUAACAAGGUAUC